This 833-nucleotide long non-coding RNA is filed under the name Nicotiana benthamiana. RNAcentral describes it as "long non-coding RNA (NBEN_LNC042508)". The record is from RNAcentral. Lineage: Eukaryota; Viridiplantae; Streptophyta; Magnoliopsida; Solanales; Solanaceae.
CUCUUAUGUGCCUGGGCAUAUUGCUUUAUAUGCUGUAAUAGAUCUCUGAAGUUGAAGGUAAGCAUAUUCUACAAGGAAUACUAAAUAUUAUCCCUCUUUCAAUAAUAAUUUAUACUCAAGUCUUAGUUUGUUUUCAUGGUGGAUAGAAAUUCUCCUGGAUGUUGCAACACAUCUUGUUCUGCAUGCAGUAGUCAACUCUACCUUUGCGGCCAGAUAUAAUCUGGUACCUGAUGGUGCCUGGAUUUGAUAGAAGGCAGUUGAACUGCACUACAGUUUCUCAUUGUUGGUAAUAUAUAUUUAAGUCAAGUUUAGCAUCUUAAAUUCCAUACCGUGUAUGAAAUAUGACAGAUGGAGACUCCACCCAAGGCACCUGUCAUGUUUUCUUACGUUGACUUUUCCGCGGAAGUUAUGUCUAUAAUUGUUGAUUUGAGUUGAAAUGGAAACUUUCCCCAUUAAAGAAGUUGCAAGGAAGCUAGACGUGCUGAUGUGAAUGGCUGGAUAAAUAGAAUCUUCAUCUAUGCAGUCUAAACUGACUCUCGACUCUGCAUUUUCUUAAAAAAACUCUGGUCCCAAAAGUCUUUCCACUCGUUUUUCUUUAUACGUUUUUUUACUAUAAAUUUUGCACUUACCCGUUUGCCAUUGCUUGCAUUCUAGCAUCCAAUCAAACUGGCUCGCAUUACCUGUCCCACCCCGUUCCUUUCAGGGAAGUCAGAAAUUGGCGUUCUAGUUUUCUGAUACCCUUGGCUAUCUAAACAACUGCAAAUAGCAAAAUCUUGAAUACCCACAACCACAAAGCGAUGAGUCCCUCUUAAGGAACAUGUCUUCUUCUGCAG